CACAGUUCGAAACUCGGUGGACAAUUGGUUUGCCCCUCGACAAUUACCAGAGGGUUCAAACUCGUGACACGCACCUAACCCACACAUCACAACUGCAUUCUUACCAUUUGAUAUGUAUUUCUUGAUUAGUUUCCAUGUUUUUAUAGCAUCUAACACCAAAACGCUUUGAGCAGACGCCUAUUUUGUGGUCUCAUGGUAUCGCUGAUAGGACUGUACUGUUUGAAGCUGGACAAGCAGGGCCACCUUUUCUGGAGCGAGCUGGUAUGACUUGCGAAUUCAAGGCUUACCCUGGUCUCGCUCAUUCGAUAAACAACGAGGAGUUGAAGAACUUGGAAUCGUGGAUCAAGACUCGUCUUCAAAGCAAUUCUUAAAGCUCCACAUGAUAUUCGAUUUGCAUUUCACACAAUCAAAGCUCUUGAGUUCAAAAACUGCUGCUCAUUUGCUGCUUACUACUGAAGUUGUAGUUGAGUUGGUUGCAAAACGCCUUCUCAUUCACGUAUUAACAUUUUUACUGUAUUUCUUGGCUCAUUUUACAGUUUUAGUUAUGAAAUAUGGGACAAGUAGUUGAACUGUGAAAUUGAAAGAAAGAUGUUGGAUUAUA
This is a non-coding RNA of Nicotiana tabacum (common tobacco), 601 nucleotides long. Lineage: Eukaryota; Viridiplantae; Streptophyta; Magnoliopsida; Solanales; Solanaceae. The record is from RefSeq and is a predicted model, not a curated record.